CACUCCGAAGCCAAAUAAAUUUCACAUUUAUGAUAUAAAGGGAACGGUUCAGUGUGGGAAUAUUAAAGUGCCUGUGUGUUUGACGUCAGGGCUUUUCCACACAGCAAAUUUCUUCUCACCCUGGGAGUCACACUCAUUAAAAAAUUAAGGAUCUUUGCACUUUGGAAAAACUCAUUAAGGCACUCUUAGACUCCUGUCGCACUAGAAACAAGCCCAUAGAUAGAGGCAUGAAACAUCAUCCAAAGGUGACUGUCAUAUACACCUAUAUUAUACUUGACUUGAGAUGGACAGUUUAAAACAAAAAAUAUCAAAAACUGCUGCCUACAUUACCCACAAUGCAACUUACCAGUCGACAGUUGGAGAUUUGGCUGUGUCAUGCUAGUAGCUGCUUAUGUAGUCUCGAGCCUCUAGCCUGCAGCAGAGAUGAGGAGCGGGCUACAGAGGUCUGAGUUCACAGGAUCCGGGGCCUUUCUUUCUGCCUCUAAGAUCUUUUUCUGGCUCCAUCUCUGAAAGACCAGUCCAGGGAACCUCCUGGCACCACAUUCACUUUACACAUGGUGCGGGACCAUUUCUUGGCUGGAUGCACUGACUACCCAGAGAAUAAUUAACCACAGCAUGCUGAGGACACACAUCACUUGCAGACAGACCAGAGGCCGUUUCAGACUCAAAGCUGAUUCAAGAUGCCCCACCAUCCCCUUGAUGUCAGGACAUGAGAGCGUCAGGGGGUUACUCUGCCUCACUUACUCACAUGCACGUUGACCCACAUUACCCAACAGUGUGCUACCGCUCCUGUGUAUAUUAAUAACCACGUGCACAUCCUACCCUCUGUGCUCAGACCAGGAAAAGGCUUCAUGUUUCAGCUCAUUAUGUGAAACCUAUGGACUAAUGCUAUUCUACCUUUUUGUUAUUGCUAAUUCCAUGAAAGCCAAAGCCUGAUAUAUCUUAUUCUUCCAUGCCAUAUAGCUCCAUUAUUGUCCAGAAAACAAUUUAAAACACAUCAGUGAGCCACACUGUAGCACUGGGUGCCAUGUUCUUUCAGUACCACGAACAAACACGCAUACAAUGUAGUUUAUUCUGACUCAAUCCCUACAUACCUCAUCCUACUGCCUCAAAUAAAUGUGCAAAUAAGCAACUGUUUGCUAACAACUUUGCCCUAUUAACUUAAAAGCUGAGUGUACACAGUACUUGAUUAAAAAACUAUUUUGUCAUUUAUUUCUGCUCAUGUGUGUCAACCUGAUACAUUUGUGACUCAAAGUUAGUGGCUCUGAUCUAUAAAGACCUUUGUGAGUCACAGAAAAGUGGAGCUGAGUGUACUGAACGUGAGCUGGACCCCGUCUGAAAAUACCUGCUGUGCUUUACCUCUCUGUGGGUGGCAGGCAGAGUGGUUCACCUACAAACAUCUAAAGGUCAGCCAACAUGUACAGUAUGUGUAUUUGUAUGCACUCAUAUUGAGCUGCAGUCUGUUCUUGCAGGUCCCGUUACCUUUUCGGGUUACGUGGCCCUCCUGAUCCUGAUGAUGAAGUUAAACUGUCAUGUAGCAAUGUCAAUGGACCUUUAGCUGACCAUCCACCCCAAGUGACAGAACUGUGCUGUAAACACCUGCCUGUCUCAGUGUGCUUGACUGGCCAUGUUCUGCCUUUUGAACACGACAGGGAAAGCUUUUGAAAGACACCAGCGUGCCCGGGGCUUAUGUAACACUGAGAUCUGGCCAAAGAGAAUGCUGAGGGGCUUAAUCUGCCCUGGCACCAUGGGUGUGGAGGCUGUUCAAGAGCCCUGAGGGGACUGGAGAGAGUGAACCACCAUCUUACUCUGCAGUUCUGGCUUUUGUGGAUGCUGGAAAAAUCAUAGAGGUUAAAUGAGGGGGCAAAUGAGGUGACAAUAAGAACAUAAUUACAGUGGUAGGAAUGGUGGGUUUGUGGUCAGGAAAGUGGAGUCUAAGGUGGAUGGAAUAUUUGAGCAAACUGUAAAAUAGGGUUUUAAAGAGCCAUCUCUGUUUUAAUGAGUGGAGGGCCUCAUUCCUCUUAAGCAAGUGGUCAGAAUUACACCGGGGAUAAGUGGGGCUCCUGGCAGGGCUCCAGCAACUCACACCAGACUUUCUUUUCAUUUACUCUGAGAGCGAGAAAAGCAGAGAAAGGGAGAUGGAGACAGCUUUGCCCAGCCAACCAGGCAUACCCCACAGCCAGGCCAAAGAAAAUGCCCAUUCACUCUCACAUUAGCCGUCUGCAUGGCCACCUUCAAAGGAGGUCCCUCUCUGCCAAAUCUUCUCAGACUGUGUGCACACACUGACUGGCUGCCUCGUGAAAGCAUGAGUGCAGAAAACCAGUGCCAGUGAUUGCCCUGUGCAGCAGUUAAUUGAAGUAUUAUCAACAUAAGCACGGUCAGUUAAGCUGAUUAUAUAACAGUGCAGAAUCCUCCAUCGAGAUGCAUAUGAAAUAAAGCCAAGCGCUUUAAGUCACUUAUGAAUGGUGAAUGUUAUAAUUUCAAGAACAUUUCAGUUUUGGUAGUGUGCAGAAAACACAGACUAACAAAUGUGGCUGGAAAAGAGUUUUUGGCGAUCUAUUGAAUAUUCCUCUCAUACUCAGCAUGGAAUAAUUAUUAUGAUUAAUUAAGCUCCUUAAUUCAAAAAGAACAACAUUUGAUAAUGUGAAUCAAAAUGAGUGCACUAUUCAAUAAAUGACUAAACAAUUCCAUUGGCACAGUGAUACCCAGAUUAGAUGGCUGAGGGAGUCUUUGGCACCUCGCAGCUCUAUAGCCAAUAACGACAAAAGAAGCUGAAAAUAUGCAGAAACUAAACACACAGAGCCAACAUGGAACCAUGCCAAAGAUGUUAAUAUUCAUAUCAAGUGACAUGUUCUGAAUAUAAAGCUGAAGUUGUUUUAACUGAACCUGCAGAAUUGCGUCACACAUCACUCCUGUGUAACAUCUGUCUCUUGGAGAUUAGUGGUGACAAGGAGGGAAAUGUGUAGACCAUUACUGAUUGCUUCGUCACUACAAGACAUAUGGAAUUGUGAUUCAUAAUCAACUUGUUCUUGAUUAGGAGAAGCAUUAAAAACAUAUGCUCCAUUCAGCAGAUGGACAAACGCUUUAAUGUGAGUGACUUAAUAACAAUACAGACUAUGCAGCUUCCAUGGAAAUACAGUUUAUAGCUGUAGUCCAUCAAAAUUGUCAUUGUCAGUGUCACAUUUUCUGUACUCUCUCUUUGAUGCUGUUAUUUUUCUGAAUGAGGUUUUACAUUUUCAACCACAUAAUUUUAAAGAUAUAUCAAUUUUGUGUUUUAUGGCAGAUUUUAAACGUUCAAAAUUGUUUGUUAGCUUUGCUGAGCCGUUAAUGACACGUCAGACAACACUCAUCAGAUAUAUUAUCCAUCUGUUCUCAAAGUAGGCAAAGGAUGAACAAUGCAUGUCUUGUCAGGCCAGAUGCUCCUUUCAGGUAUGGAUGGUGAAGACAACUUUACAGUUAUUUUAAUAUGAGCUGAACGUACCGUUCCUCUUCUUUAUCAACUCAGUUUUUGAUAAUUGAGUGAUGGCCUGUCAUAAAUGUCAAAUUGUGUUUUUCAAAUGCACAGGAACCAUCUCAUGUGGAAAGACAGCAUCCAUAACUCUUGCAACCAUGUGUUUCUGAUCAAUUUUACAAACUAAACAGGCAAUAGGAGGAACUCUACAGUUCACAACCUUUGCAGAAUAGCUACAAUAAUCUUCACUCUUCCACCUAUUUACUCUGUUAUUCUCUCUGUACUUUGCCUGUAUCAUCUUAGAUUUGCUACCUUAGAAUCUUAGAGUAAGGGUGUACUUCAUUGUUGACUGUUAGUUUAGCUUCUAGCCUAGCCUAGCUUACUAGCUUAGCUUUCAUUAAUCCACAAUUAAAGUAGAUGGCUGUGUCUUUACCCUCCUCUUUAGUUAGUAUAAUUAUUGUUUACAACAAAUUAGGUCUUACAUUAUAUAUGUUUUGGCCAUAAUUUACACCAAAUGGAGACUGUACUCCCAAUAAGGACAACAGCAUCAUUCAUCAUUUCAAAUGACACAUUCAAAUGACUAAGCUUUCUAUCAGCCAUAGCAAUUAUCAAAAGAAAGGAGAAAGUAAGGUGACAUCACAAGAUUGAGGUGGAUGGAUGGAUCAACAAAACAUUGGACUUCAACACAGUAGAAUAGUAGUUUGUUUGCAGCAAAACCUUAACCAUUCUGUCAUGUCAUAAAAUGGACAAAUGAUCUCAUCCUGCUGAAAGAGGCAUCAGGUCUGAAAGCAUUGUAGAGGACAUCGACAAACUAUGUAUUUUGACGUUUAAUUUAGAGGACUUGUUGCAAAAAUGAGCACCCCCACAAAGUAUUUGGAAUAGAAAAUGAAGAUGAACAGUGAGCUUAUUCCUCAAACAUCCAUCACGGUUUACAGACCAACUUCUUGAUUCAGCUUUGACCUACCAUAUUUCCUGAAGUUGUGCACACACACUUUUCCUGUUCAACAAGAGACUAUUACAUUUUGGGUGUGCUUGCUUUCAGUUUUACUUUCAAAUAAAGAGAAUGCUUGUUUAAAACCUU
Molecule: long non-coding RNA, 4532 nt
Organism: Micropterus salmoides (largemouth bass)
Lineage: Eukaryota; Metazoa; Chordata; Actinopteri; Centrarchiformes; Centrarchidae
Exons: 4
Source: RefSeq, a predicted model, not a curated record